RNAcentral lists this small RNA (148 nucleotides) under Pongo abelii (Sumatran orangutan). RNAcentral's name for it is "Metazoan signal recognition particle RNA (ENSPPYG00000032172.1)". The record is from Rfam by way of RNAcentral. Lineage: Eukaryota; Metazoa; Chordata; Mammalia; Primates; Hominidae.
GCCGGGUGUGGUGGUGGGCGCCUGUAAUCCCAGCUACUUGGGAGGCUGAGGCAGGAGAAUUGCUUGAGCUCAGGAGGUGGAGGUUGCAGUGAGCUGAGACCGUGCUACUGCACUCCAGCCUGGGUGACAGAGCAAGACUCUGUCUUAA